Molecule: ribosomal RNA, 440 nt
Filed under: uncultured bacterium
Lineage: Bacteria
Description: partial 16S ribosomal RNA
Rfam family: Bacterial small subunit ribosomal RNA
Source: RNAcentral
ACUACGGGUGGCAGCAGUGGGGAAUAUUGCACAAUGGGGGAAACCCUGAUGCAGCGACGCCGCGUGAGUGAAGAAGUAUUUCGGUAUGUAAAGCUCUAUCAGCAGGGAAGAAAAUGACGGUACCUGAUUAAGAAGCCCCGGCUAACUACGUUACAGCAGCCGCGGUAAUACGUAGGGGGCAAGCGUUAUCCGGAUUUACUGGGUGUAAAGGGAGCGUAGACGGCAGCGCAAGUCUGAAGUGAAAUGCCGGGGCUGAACUCCGGAACUGCUUUGGAAACUGAGCAGAUAGAGUGCAGGAGAGGUAAGUAGAAAUCCUAGUGUAGCGGUGCAAUGCGUAGAUAUGAGGCGGAACACCAGUGGCGAAGGCGGCUUACUGGACUGUAACUGACGUUGAGGCUCGAAAGCGUGAGGAGCAAACAGGAUUAGAUACCCGGGUAGUC